AGGUAAGGUGACUGCUUUUAACAUUCAGAAUUACCCAGAUGGCAUAUUAUGCAGUGUAUCAUAGGCAUUUUAAACUCUUAAAAUCAGACACCAAUUGGUUAUAAUGCUUUUGCUAAAAUAGGAAAUUACCAAACAAAAAUAAUUUGGCAUUUUUUUCUUAUUUAUGCAUUUUUCCCCUUUAACUAGUAGAUUUAUGCUUGUAGUGAGAAG
RNAcentral lists this long non-coding RNA (210 nucleotides) under Homo sapiens (human). Its description in RNAcentral is "HSALNT0113342". Lineage: Eukaryota; Metazoa; Chordata; Mammalia; Primates; Hominidae. The record is from RNAcentral.